UCCCGUACUUCUUACAAUUGCGAUGGGGGGACGGAGAAGGCUAGGUGGGCCUGGCGACGGUUGUCCAGGUUCAAGUGCGUAGGCUUAAGAGUUAGGUAAAUCCGGCUCUUUUUAAGGCUGAGACACGACGUCGAGCACCUACGGGUGUGAAGUCAUUGAUGCCAUGCUUCCAGGAAAAGCCUCUAAGCUUCAGAUUGUAAGGAAUCGUACCCCAAACCGACACAGGUGGUCGGGUAGAGAAUACCAAGGCGCUUGAGAGAACUCGGGUGAAGGAACUAGGCAAAAUGGUACCGUAACUUCGGGAGAAGGUACGCUCUUGACGGUGAAGUCCCUCGCGGAUGGAGCUAUUGAGAGUCGCAGAUACCAGGUGGCUGCAACUGUUUAUUAAAAACACAGCACUGUGCAAAAUCGUAAGAUGACGUAUACGGUGUGACGCCUGCCCGGUGCCGGAAGGUUAAUU
This 460-nucleotide ribosomal RNA is filed under the name Vibrio parahaemolyticus. Its description in RNAcentral is "partial 23S ribosomal RNA". It matches the Rfam family "Bacterial large subunit ribosomal RNA", at positions 1437 to 1882 of the family's 2925-position model. Lineage: Bacteria; Pseudomonadati; Pseudomonadota; Gammaproteobacteria; Vibrionales; Vibrionaceae. The record is from RNAcentral.